This 785-nucleotide ribosomal RNA is filed under the name uncultured Pelagibacteraceae bacterium. RNAcentral's name for it is "bacterial SSU rRNA". It matches the Rfam family "Bacterial small subunit ribosomal RNA", at positions 44 to 877 of the family's 1533-position model. Lineage: Bacteria; Pseudomonadati; Pseudomonadota; Alphaproteobacteria; Candidatus Pelagibacterales; Candidatus Pelagibacteraceae. The record is from RNAcentral.
ACGCCUUAUACAUGCAAGUCGAACGGAGUAGCAAUACUUAGUGGCAGACGGGUGAGUAACAUGUGGGUAUCUUCCCUUUGGUGAGGAAUAACACGAGGAAACUUGUGCUAAUACCUCAUAAGUCUUUACGGAGAAAGCUUUAUGCGCCGAUGGAUGAGCCCGCACUUGAUUAGUUUGUUGGUAGGGUAAUGGCCUACCAAGACGGUGAUCAAUAGCUGAUCUGAGAGGAUGAUCAGCCACAUUGGGACUGAGACACGGCCCAAACUCCUACGGGAGGCAGCAGUAGGGAAUAUUGCACAAUGGAGGAAACUCUGAUGCAGCGAUGCCGCGUGAGUGAAGAAGGCCCUUGGGUUGUAAAGCUCUUUCGUCGGGGAAGAAAAUGACUGUACCCGAAUAAGAAGGUCCGGCUAACUUCGUGCCAGCAGCCGCGGUAAUACGAAGGGACCUAGCGUAGUUCGGAAUUACUGGGCUUAAAGAGUUCGUAGGUGGUUAAAAAAGUUGGUGGUGAAAUCCCAGAGCUUAACUCUGGAACUGCCAUCAAAACUUUUUAGCUAGAGUAUGAUAGAGGAAAGCAGAAUUUCUAGUGUAGAGGUGAAAUUCGUAGAUAUUAGAAAGAAUACCGAUUGCGAAGGCAGCUUUCUGGAUCAUUACUGACACUGAGGAACGAAAGCAUGGGUAGCGAAGAGGAUUAGAUACCCUCGUAGUCCAUGCUGUAAACGAUGUGUGUUAGACGUUGGAAAUUUAUUUUCAGUGUCGCAGCGAAAGCAAUAAACACACCGCCUGGG